ACUUGAUUAAAUCAAUGAUUUAAUGUUUUGAAAACAUUAUUUAGGUUAAAUGACCUUUGAUUUUGUU
RNAcentral lists this transfer RNA (67 nucleotides) under Bemisia tabaci. RNAcentral's name for it is "tRNA-Ser". The record is from RNAcentral. Lineage: Eukaryota; Metazoa; Arthropoda; Insecta; Hemiptera; Aleyrodidae.